Molecule: long non-coding RNA, 334 nt
Organism: Falco peregrinus (peregrine falcon)
Lineage: Eukaryota; Metazoa; Chordata; Aves; Falconiformes; Falconidae
Exons: 3
Source: RefSeq, a predicted model, not a curated record
AAAGGAAAGGAAGAGAAAAGAAAGGAAAGAAAAUACUGAGUGGUGUAACAGACUUUCGUUAUGGUGCCAAAAAAUGUCACAGACCUGCUUGCUGCAAUGUCUGCAUGUGGGUAUUUUUUCUGCAAUUUAAAGGCUGAAAUACCGUGGCUUUAGCAGCAGAAUACUCAUGGGUGAUGAGCUCUCUGGCAUUUUUGAGAAGAAAACGAAGGAGAAUUAUGCCCCGCUGACAAAACAGGCGUUCCCCAUCUGACACUUCCAGGCUGAAAACUUGCGGUAGCAGCAGCUUACGGACCAGUACACUUCAUGAUGUUACGGUGUGUUACCCUCCCAUAAU